CGGCGUGGAUAAGACAUGCAAGUCGAACGAGAGAAUUGCUAGCUUGCUAAUAAUUCUCUAGUGGCGCACGGGUGAGUAACACGUGAGUAACCUGCCCCCGAGAGCGGGAUAGCCCUGGGAAACUGGGAUUAAUACCGCAUAGUAUCGAAAGAUUAAAGCAGCAAUGCGCUUGGGGAUGGGCUCGCGGCCUAUUAGUUAGUUGGUGAGGUAACGGCUCACCAAGGCGAUGACGGGUAGCCGGUCUGAGAGGAUGUCCGGCCACACUGGAACUGAGACACGGUCCAGACACCUACGGGUGGCAGCAGUCGAGAAUCAUUCACAAUGGGGGAAACCCUGAUGGUGCGACGCCGCGUGGGGGAAUGAAGGUCUUCGGAUUGUAAACCCCUGUCAUGUGGGAGCAAAUUAAAGAGAUAGUACCACAAGAGGAAGAGACGGCUAACUCUGUGCCAGCAGCCGCGGUAAUACAGAGGUCUCAAGCGUUGUUCGGAAUCACUGGGCGUAAAGCGUGCGUAGGCUGUUUCGUAAGUCGUGUGUGAAAGGCGCGGGCUCAACCCGCGGACGGCACAUGAUACUGCGAGACUAGAGUAAUGGAGGGGGAACCGGAAUUCUCGGUGUAGCAGUGAAAUGCGUAGAUAUCGAGAGGAACACUCGUGGCGAAGGCGGGUUCCUGGACAUUAACUGACGCUGAGGCACGAAGGCCAGGGGAGCGAAAGGGAUUAGAUACCCCUGUAGUCCUGGCAGUAAACGGUGCACGCUUGGUGUGCGGGGAAUCGACCCCCUGCGUGCCGGAGCUAACGCGUUAAGCGUGCCGCCUGGGGAGUACGGUCGCAAGAUUAAAACUCAAAGAAAUUGACGGGGACCCGCACAAGCGGUGGAGUAUGUGGCUUAAUUCGAUGCAACGCGAAGAACCUUACCUGGGCUUGACAUGUAAUGAACGACAUGUGAAAGCAUGCGACUCUUCGGAGGCGUUACACAGGUGCUGCAUGGCCGUCGUCAGCUCGUGUCGUGAGAUGUUUGGUUAAGUCCAGCAACGAGCGCAACCCCUGUUGCCAGUUACCAGCACGUGAAGGUGGGGACUCUGGCGAGACUGCCCAGAUCAACUGGGAGGAAGGUGGGGACGACGUCAGGUCAGUAUGGCCCUUAUGCCCAGGGCUGCACACGUACUACAAUGCCCAGUACAGAGGGGGCCGAAGCCGCGAGGCGGAGGAAAUCCUGAAAACUGGGCCCAGUUCGGACUGUAGGCUGCAACCCGCCUACACGAAGCCGGAAUCGCUAGUAAUGGCGCAUCAGCUACGGCGCCGUGAAUACGUUCCCGGGUCUUGUACACACCGCCCGUCACAUCAUGGAAGCCGGUCGCACCCGAAGUAUCUGAAGCCAACCGCAAGGAGGCAGGGUCCUAAGGUGAGACUGGUAACUGGGAUGAA
RNAcentral lists this ribosomal RNA (1424 nucleotides) under uncultured organism. RNAcentral's name for it is "SSU rRNA". It matches the Rfam family "Bacterial small subunit ribosomal RNA". The record is from RNAcentral.